AUACUUAUUUGUUGACAAGACUAGGGCUCUUACAUAGACUGCCAUGAACUACAAGAAGUACAAGCCGGGUGCGGUGGCUCAAGCCUGUAAUCCCAGCCCAGCACGAGGUCAAGAGAUCGAGACCAUCCUGGUCAACAUGGUGAAAUCCCGUCUCUACUAAAAAUACAAAAAAUUAGCUGGGCAUGGUGGCACAUGCCUGUAAUCCCAGCUACUCAGGAGGCGGAGGCAGGAGAAUUGCCUGAACCCAGGAGGCAGAGGUUCUGGUGAGGUGAGAUCGCGCCAUUGCACUCCAGCCUGGGUAACAAGAGCGAAACUCUGUCUCAAAAAAAAAAAAGAAGUACGGCAUUGCCAGAGUAACCUGUGGACUCAGGAUUUGAAGACAAAAAGCAUUAUAUUCCAGUGGUUGAUCAAACUCUACUAGUGCCCCCACCAAUAGUGGUGGUAGUGAUGGGGCCUCCAAAAGUUGGAAAAAGCACUUUGAUACAAGGCUUCAUUCUGAACUUCACUCGGCAGAAGUUGACCGAGAUCAGAGGCCCAGCGAUGAUCGUGUCAGGUAAAAGCGCAGACUCACCAUUAUUGAAUGUGGGUGUGGCAUUAACAUGAUGAUUGAUCUGGCUAAAGUAGCAGAUCCGGAUGAGGUGGGGACCACCCAUAAGCUGGUCCAGAGUCUCACUCUACCCACUCCAUUAUUGAUGCCAAGAUGGCUUCAAGAUGAGUGACACCGUUUUCUGAUUCCAAUCCACUUGGGUCAGAGGAUAUAGAUAAUCAAGGGCUGUUGAUGCCAAAGGAGGAAAAACAAAUGGACUUGAAAACUGGUCGAAUGCGUCGGAAAGCCGUUUUUGGUGAUGAAGAUGGAUCUGGAGAUAGUGACGAUGAAGAAGGUGAUGAAAUGUCUGAAGAUGACGGGUUGGAAAACGGCUCGAGUGAUGAGGAAGCAGUAGAGGAGGAAAAUGCUGAGGUGACUGAGGAGUGUAUGACUGCUAAGGGCGUCAAACGACGGAAACUUGAGGAGUUGGAAGAAGACAGUGAAGUAGAUUUGCCAGCAUUUGCUGACAGUGAUGAUGACCUUGAGAGGAGCUCAGCAGAAGAAGGGGAAGCGGAGGAAGCUGAUGAAAGCAGUGAGGAAGAGGACUGCUCUGCAGGAGAGAAGGGCAUUUCAGGAUCAAAGGCUGCUGGAGAAGGUAGUAAAGCAGAGCUGUCACCAGCUAAUCACCAGAGUGACCGUGUGAAUCUGGAGAAGUCUUUGCCAAUGAAGAAAGCAGCCCUCGGCUGGGCGCCAUGGCUCGCGCCUGUAAUCCCAGCACUUUGGUAGGCCAAGGUAGGCAGAUCACAAGGUCAGGAGUUUGAGACCAGGCAGGCCAAUAUGGUGAAACCCUGUCUCUGAUAAAAACACAAAAACUGGGGGUGGUGGUGGACACCUGUAGUCCCAGCUACUGGGGAGGCUAAGGCAGGAGAACUGCUUGAACCUGGGAGGCAGGGGUUGCAAUGAUACGAGAUUGUGCCUUUACACUCCAGUCUGGGUGAUGGAGUGAGAUUCUGUAUCAAAAAAAAACAAAAAACAAAAAAUAGAAAGCAGCCCUCACCACUUCCAAUACUGGGCAUUACACAGCUGAAGAGGCGUUUGCAUCUGAAGAUGAAUCUGAAGAAAGCUCCUCACUCAGUGCAGAGGAAGAGGACUCAGAAAAUCAAGAGGCUCUUAGGAAAAAGCUUUUGAAGCCUUCUGAGGUGGGCAGUGGUCAGAAACUGGGGUCGAGGAACUUAAUUGAUGAGACCAGUGAUACAGAAGAUUUACUCAAAGAGGAAGAAGAUUACAAGGAAGAAAGGAAUGAUCCCACAGAAACCUCAGGUGCCCUCAAGUGAAAGGAAGACCUUUCCAGAAAGGCAGCUGAGGCCUUUCUGAGGCAGCAGCAAGCAGCUCCAAACCUCCAAAAGCUUAUUUAUGGGACAGGUAAAGAACUCUGGUUCAGAGCUGGAAACGUUUCAGUUUCUCUGAUUAUUUUCUGAAAAGGAGGUGAGAGUUGGUUGGAGGAUUGGGGUGGUAUUGUUGACAUCCAUCAUUGCUGGCCAUCACAUUUCCUAUUUAUGUCUUUAAUCAUCAGCUUAUGAGGAACGCACACUGGUCUUGUGAAGUAAACUUAUGGGUUUGCUGUAAAACUUGAUGCAAAUACUGUCCAUUGUAUCAUGUUAUGUCCCCAUUGAAAAGUCCUUCAUGAGAAAAUUUUUGGUAGAAUUUAAUGCCAGAAAAAUAUUUUUUUUGUUUAUGAGAAUAACUCUGUGCAACACAUUUUGCCCUUGUCCUCUGAUUUUAUGCUUUAUUAAACUUUCCUAUAUGUUCUUUGUGGUAGAAUUAAUGCAAAAAUAAAUUUAUAGUUGUGACCUUUAUAUUGUGCUCCCUGGUUACUGCACAAUGAGAUCAAGGCCACAUGAUGAGACAUUUGGGCUCAGCAUACUGAAAUGGGAGGGUUGUUGUGUAGUGAUUUUUAUUCAGGUUUUAUCUAGGUGCUCUUCGUAACGAGAGGCUAAACACUCUUUAAAGCUCUUCUUUAUAAUCUAAAGCUCUGCCUUUAAAUGUUCCUUUCCUCCCUUACCCUAAUAUUCUCAAUCCUUCUCAACCACUUAGCUGCUGCCAUGCAGGAGCGCAGGAGCCCCCACACAUGUAGAGCAAUAGCUUCCUGGCCUCUCUUCACCUGUGGCUGACCUGCCCUCUCAGUGCUUGACUCAUAUGUGGCCAUUGCCAUACCCCCCACAGACAGAGACCCUCAGUUCCUGAGUUCCAAGACUCAUGGCUUAAAUUGUUGGAAACAAUGAGUCCUUAGGGCUGUAAGUGUUUUUUUCUUUC
Molecule: RNA transcript, 2839 nt
Organism: Callithrix jacchus (white-tufted-ear marmoset)
Lineage: Eukaryota; Metazoa; Chordata; Mammalia; Primates; Cebidae
Gene name: ribosome biogenesis protein BMS1 homolog
Source: RefSeq, a predicted model, not a curated record